AGUCGGGCGUUGAGCGCAAAGCGAAUUGUUCUUUCACCUUUUACUAAAGAAUACCGUGUGCUCCACAAAAUCAUCGACAUACCCCUAUUUUUGAAGGAGGUUGUCUUAUCUGAGAAAUU
This is a small nuclear RNA of Benincasa hispida (wax gourd), 119 nucleotides long. RefSeq annotates it as U5 spliceosomal RNA. The record is from RefSeq and is a predicted model, not a curated record. NCBI's taxonomy places the organism in Eukaryota, Viridiplantae, Streptophyta, Magnoliopsida, Cucurbitales, Cucurbitaceae.